GUUAUGGCGGAGCGCAUUCUCUCAUACUGCCUGGAGCUCCAACAGACGUGUGCGCAGCGCACUGACCACGUGAACGGCAUGCCACUGUACAGACCUCGACUUACUGCAUUCCGUAAUGUUAUUAUAGAUGGGAACGUUGCCUGUCUUUAAAUGUGACGAAAAACUGUCAAAAUGUGUUCCAAGGGACGCUAAAAAAAAAUAGCGUAGACGUCGUAACAACGGAGGACGGACGGAGGUCGUAUUCAGCAAUGUCCAGAGCAAGCCUUAACGUGCCCCCCCAUAUUUCUUUAUAACUCCAGAGAGUACUGGCUGUGUGAUAUAUUUUCGGCCCCUACCGACAGACUGUGACGCCACAAAGAUUCGUGUAUGUUCUGCGGUCGGACGUCUCCUAGACCGUCACCGUGGCGUGUUUGUGAGGAAAUGAAAGUGAAAGUGGGAGUUAGCGCUCACUCCGCGCCAUGCCUUCCCAACUGGCUUGUAGCGAGUCUAAGGUGCACAAGGAGAUUCUACAGCUGUUAUCUCAACACCCUUCUGGACUGAAGGUAUCUGACUUCACUGCAGCCUAUCGGAAAAAGUACUGUAAAGAUCUAGUCCUCUCCAGACAUGGAUUCAAUAAGCUGACAGGUCUUUUCAACGCCAUGAAGGAUUUUGUGGAUAUUCUGGAGUUAAAUGGAGAUCAAUUUGUCAAGAUUAAGUCGAAGCACAUUCACGAAGACCAGGCCUCAGGAUCCUGUCACUAUGAGGGCCCACGGCAUUCACGAGAAGACUCCCCGGUUACCGCUCUGUCUUGCCAGCACAGCUCACUCUUGUCUAAGGUGCACGAGGAGAUUCUACAGCUGUUGUCUCAACAUCCUUCUGGACUGAAGACCAGGUCUCAGUAUCCUGUCACUAUGAGGGCCCACGGCAUUCACGAGAAGACUCCCCAGUCACCCCUCUGUCUUGCCAGCACGGCACACUCUUGAUGUCAGAGGAAAACCACAAUAGUGCCACCAGAAAGUCCUUCAGGCAUGAUCAAGAUCAAAGUCAGCAACGAUCAGGAAGUCCAGUGCCUGUACAGACAGACCCAAUGAAAGAGCUGAAGGCUUCCCUUCAGGCGCUCAUGAAAAAACAUCCGCAAGGUGUACCACUGACAGCUGUUCGAAGAUCCUGCCCCACCCUGUAUCACCCUGCACUACUGAAUAAUUAUGCAUCUGUGAAGCAUCUCCUGGCCUCUCUUACUGAUGUGGUACAACUGCAGGGUAUUGGUGUUCAGACCCUUGUUCAUCCAGCAGCUGUUAGGACAAAAUCACAUUGAUGCAUAUUCUACAUGCACUAUGCUUAUUUUUUUCCUCAGACUCUUACAAUAAUUAUAGCUUUCAACAUUUAACCAAAUAGUAAUUACAAUGGAAAUUAUAAUGCAACAUAGAACAGUGAAGAUAAUUUGGAGGCUUAUCAUAGACAAGCUGUGUGAUAAUUUUUCAGUUCAUUCUAGCACAGUAUAAUACUUGGCAAAAUAAAAUGAAAGGAAGGUACA
This 1513-nucleotide long non-coding RNA is filed under the name Scleropages formosus (Asian bonytongue). RNAcentral describes it as "lncRNA (ENSSFOG00015027390.1)". The record is from RNAcentral. Lineage: Eukaryota; Metazoa; Chordata; Actinopteri; Osteoglossiformes; Osteoglossidae.